Sitodiplosis mosellana (orange wheat blossom midge) is the source of this 387-nucleotide long non-coding RNA. RefSeq lists it as uncharacterized. The record is from RefSeq and is a predicted model, not a curated record. NCBI's taxonomy places the organism in Eukaryota, Metazoa, Arthropoda, Insecta, Diptera, Cecidomyiidae. The transcript has 2 exons.
AAAAUAACCAAAAUUGGGAAACAAUAGAUCGAUAUAAAUACAACGAACAAACCCUGGGAUAAGCAUCAGUUUCACUCAAUCGGUGCAAUUACUAAGUCAAAAUGAAGUUCUUGCUUGUCGUCCUCGCCGUCAUCGUUGGUCUUUUUGGACUCACCAAUGCCCUCAUUUGUGCCAGGGAUGGUGACAGCUACAUGAUCUUUCGCGACAAAAUCGCCAUGGAGAAUUAUAACCACGGAAGUGGAAGUAAUUACCGAUUCGCUCAUCACGGGGAAUGCUGAAUAGCUUGAGCGAAAGAACUAUUACAACAUUAUGAUUUACAGGAACCAGUACAGUGCUCUCUCAUAAAUCUUAAGUAGUUUGUUUUUCGGAUUCUUAAGUUUUCUGAAA